UUUGACUCAGUCCCUUUAUUAAUCUGGGGUCGCCACAGCGGAAUGAACCGCCAACUUAUCCAGCAUAUUUUUUACACAGCGGAUUCAUGCAGCAUACAUUGACUUUGCCAGUGUGGACUUUUUUUCUGCAACUAGUGGGUAGCACAUUCGCCUCAUAGCAACAAGGUCACUUGAUCGAUCCUUGGCUGGGUCAAUAGGCCUUUCUGUGUGGAGUUUGCAUGUUCUCCCCGUGUUCGCGUGGGUUUCCUCCAGGUGCCCCGGUUUCCAAAGACGUGGUAAAGGAGCGAACUUUUCCUCGUUUUUAGGUCAAUUUGAAUACAAUUCAGAGGG
This 330-nucleotide long non-coding RNA is filed under the name Danio rerio (zebrafish). Its description in RNAcentral is "si:dkey-222f8.6 (ENSDARG00000094457.4)". The record is from RNAcentral. Lineage: Eukaryota; Metazoa; Chordata; Actinopteri; Cypriniformes; Danionidae.